Molecule: ribosomal RNA, 691 nt
Filed under: uncultured bacterium
Lineage: Bacteria
Description: bacterial SSU rRNA
Rfam family: Bacterial small subunit ribosomal RNA
Source: RNAcentral
GGACUUGUAUGACACGGACUCAGUAUUCCUACCGUGAAGACUGCAGGUCGGGACUCAUAGGCUCCAAUCGGGAGAAAGCUGAGCGGGAAGUGAUGCCCGCAGUGGAGGGGACAGAACGGUUAUUCUAGACUAGUACAGCCUCUUUCAGUCGAGGACCGUUAGGGAAUAGUAAACCGUACUUGCAGAAGGAAGCAUCAGGCUAACUACGUCACCAGCAAGCCCCGGUAAUAUGUCCGGGUGCAACCGUUGUCGGGAUUUAUUGGGCGUAAAGAGCUUUGUAGACUGUUUGUCGCGUAAGAUGUGAUAACCCAAUGACUUAACCUUGGGCGUACUUUCGAUACUGACAAACUAGAGUGCGGUAGAGGAGACUGGAACUGAUGGUGUAACAGUGGAAUGCGCAGAUAUCAGGAAGAACACAGAUGGUAAAUGCAGGUAUGUGCACCAUAACUGACGGUGAGGAGCGAAAGCGUGGGGAGCGAACAGGAUUAGAUACCUUGGUAGUACACACCGUAAACGAUGGGCGUUAUGCGUGCGGAUUGUUUCCACGAUCUCCGUUCGGUAGCUAACGCAUUAAGCGUCCCACCUGGGGAGUACGGCCGCAAGGCUAAAACUCAAAGGAAUUGACGGGGGCCCGCACAAGCGGCGGAGCAUGCGGCUUAAUUCGAUGCAACGCGAAGAACCUUACCUGGGC